UACGGGGGGAGCAAGCGUUGUUCGGAUUUACUGGGCGUAAAGGGCGCGUAGGCGGCGUGACAAGUCACUUGUGAAAUCUCCGGGCUUAACUCGGAGCGGUCAAGUGAUACUGUCGUGCUAGAGUACAGAAGGGGCAACUGGAAUUCUCGGUGUAGCGGUGAAAUGCGUAGAUAUCGAGAGGAACACCUGCGGCGAAGGCGGGUUGCUGGGCUGAUACUGACGCUGAGGAGCGAAAGCGUGGGGAGCGAACAGG
Molecule: ribosomal RNA, 253 nt
Filed under: uncultured bacterium
Lineage: Bacteria
Description: partial 16S ribosomal RNA
Rfam family: Bacterial small subunit ribosomal RNA
Source: RNAcentral